CGACAGGCUUAACACAUGCAAGUCGAGGGGCAGCACAGGUAGCAAUACCGGGUGGCGACCGGCGCACGGGUGAGUAACGCGUAUGCAACUUACCUAUCAGAGGGGGAUAACCCGGCGAAAGUCGGACUAAUACCGCAUGAAGCAGGGGUCCCGCAUGGGGAUAUUUGCUAAAGAUUCAUCGCUGAUAGAUAGGCAUGCGUUCCAUUAGGCAGUUGGCGGGGUAACGGCCCACCAAACCGACGAUGGAUAGGGGUUCUGAGAGGAAGGUCCCCCACAUUGGUACUGAGACACGGACCAAACUCCUACGGGAGGCAGCAGUGAGGAAUAUUGGUCAAUGGCCGAGAGGCUGAACCAGCCAAGUCGCGUGAGGGAUGAAGGUUCUAUGGAUCGUAAACCUCUUUUAUAAGGGAAUAAAGUGCGGGACGUGUCCCGUUUUGUAUGUACCUUAUGAAUAAGGAUCGGCUAACUCCGUGCCAGCAGCCGCGGUAAUACGGAGGAUCCGAGCGUUAUCCGGAUUUAUUGGGUUUAAAGGGUGCGUAGGCGGCCUUUUAAGUCAGCGGUGAAAGUCUGUGGCUCAACCAUAGAAUUGCCGUUGAAACUGGGGGGCUUGAGUAUGUUUGAGGCAGGCGGAAUGCGUGGUGUAGCGGUGAAAUGCAUAGAUAUCACGCAGAACCCCGAUUGCGAAGGCAGCCUGCCAAGCCAUUACCGACGCUGAUGCACGAAAGCGUGGGGAUCAAACAGGAUUAGAUACCCUGGUAGUCCACGCAGUAAACGAUGAUCACUAGCUGUUUGCGAUACACUGUAAGCGGCACAGCGAAAGCGUUAAGUGAUCCACCUGGGGAGUACGCCGGCAACGGUGAAACUCAAAGGAAUUGACGGGGGCCCGCACAAGCGGAGGAACAUGUGGUUUAAUUCGAUGAUACGCGAGGAACCUUACCCGGGUUUGAACGCAUUCGGACCGAGGUGGAAACACCUUUUCUAGCAAUAGCCGUUUGCGAGGUGCUGCAUGGUUGUCGUCAGCUCGUGCCGUGAGGUGUCGGCUUAAGUGCCAUAACGAGCGCAACCCUUGCCACUAGUUACUAACAGGUAAAGCUGAGGACUCUGGUGGGACUGCCAGCGUAAGCUGCGAGGAAGGCGGGGAUGACGUCAAAUCAGCACGGCCCUUACAUCCGGGGCGACACACGUGUUACAAUGGCGUGGACAAAGGGAAGCCACCUGGCGACAGGGAGCGAAUCCCCAAACCACGUCUCAGUUCGGAUCGGAGUCUGCAACCCGACUCCGUGAAGCUGGAUUCGCUAGUAAUCGCGCAUCAGCCAUGGCGCGGUGAAUACGUUCCCGGGCCUUGUACACACCGCCCGUCAAGCCAUGGGAGCCGGGGGUACCUGAAGUCCGUAACCGCGAGGAUCGGCCUAGGGUAAAACUGGUGACUGGGGC
RNAcentral lists this ribosomal RNA (1434 nucleotides) under uncultured organism. RNAcentral's name for it is "16S ribosomal RNA". It matches the Rfam family "Bacterial small subunit ribosomal RNA". The record is from RNAcentral.